GUACACUCCUGCGGGAGGCAGCAGUGGGGAAUUUUGGACAAUGGGCGAAAGCCUGAUCCAGCAAUGCCGCGUGAGUGAAGAAGGCCUUCGGGUUGUAAAGCUCUUUUGUCAGGGAAGAAACGGUGAGAGCUAAUAUCUCUUGCUAAUGACGGUACCUGAAGAAUAAGCACCGGCUAACUACGUGCCAGCAGCCGCGGUAAUACGUAGGGUGCAAGCGUUAAUCGGAAUUACUGGGCGGAAAGCGUGCGCAGGCGGUUUUGUAAGUCUGAUGUGAAAUCCCCGGGCUCAACCUGGGAAUUGCAUUGGAGACUGCAAGGCUAGAAUCUGGCAGAGGGGGGUAGAAUUCCACGUGUAGCAGUGAAAUGCGUAGAUAUGUGGAGGAACACCGAUGGCGAAGGCAGCCCCCUGGGUCAAGAUUGACGCUCAUACACGAAAGCGUGGGGAGCAAACAGGAUUAGAAACCCGGGUAGUCCCA
RNAcentral lists this ribosomal RNA (475 nucleotides) under uncultured organism. RNAcentral's name for it is "partial 16S ribosomal RNA". It matches the Rfam family "Bacterial small subunit ribosomal RNA", at positions 331 to 797 of the family's 1533-position model. The record is from RNAcentral.